RNAcentral lists this small nuclear RNA (98 nucleotides) under Physeter macrocephalus (sperm whale). Lineage: Eukaryota; Metazoa; Chordata; Mammalia; Artiodactyla; Physeteridae. The record is from RNAcentral.
UUGCUUUGGCAGCACAUAUACUAAAAUUGUAAUGAUACAGAGAAGAUUAACCCCUGCGCAAGGAUGACAUGCAAAUUCAUGAAGUAUUCCAUAAUUUU